AAUGUACCUACUAGCCUACGACGGGUACGGGUUGUGAGAGCAAGAGCCCGGAGAUGGAUUCUGAGACAUGAAUCCAGGCCCUACGGGGCGCAGCAGGCGCGAAAACUUUACAAUGCGGGAAACCGUGAUAAGGGGACACCGAGUGCCAGCAUCCUAUGCUGGCUGUCCGGGUGUGUAAAAUACACCUGUUAGCAAGGGCCGGGCAAGACCGGUGCCAGCCGCCGCGGUAACACCGGCGGCCCGAGUGGUGAUCGUGAUUAUUGGGUCUAAAGGGUCCGUAGCCGGUUUGGUCAGUCCUCCGGGAAAUCUGACAGCUCAACUGUUAGGCUUUGGAGGAUACUGCCAGACUUGGAACCGGGAGAGGUAAGAGGUACUACAGGGGUAGGAGUGAAAUCUUGUAAUCCCUGUGGGACCACCUGUGGCGAAGGCGUCUUACCAGAACGGGUUCGACGGUGAGGGACGAAAGCUGGGGGCACGAACCGGAUUAGAUACCCGGGUAGUCCCAGCCGUAAACGAUGUUCGCUAGGUGUCAGGCAUGGCGCGACCGUGUCUGGUGCCGCAGGGAAGCCGUGAAGCGAGCCACCUGGGAAGUACGGCCGCAAGGCUGAAACUCAA
This 615-nucleotide ribosomal RNA is filed under the name uncultured archaeon. RNAcentral describes it as "bacterial SSU rRNA". It matches the Rfam family "Archaeal small subunit ribosomal RNA", at positions 243 to 859 of the family's 1478-position model. The record is from RNAcentral.